RNAcentral lists this unclassified non-coding RNA (346 nucleotides) under soil metagenome. Its description in RNAcentral is "partial contains 5.8S ribosomal RNA, internal transcribed spacer 2, and large subunit ribosomal RNA". The stretch from base 4 to 119 matches the Rfam family "5.8S ribosomal RNA", at positions 39 to 154 of the family's 154-position model. The record is from RNAcentral.
GAUAAGAACGUAGCGAAAUGCGAUAAGUAAUGUGAAUUGCAGAAUUCAGUGAAUCAUCGAGUCUUUGAACGCACAUUGCGCCCCCUGGUAUUCCGGGGGGCAUGCCUGUCCGAGCGUCAUUGCUGCCCUCAAGCACGGCUUGUGUGUUGGGCCGUCGUCCCCCUCCUAGGGGACGGGCCCGAAAGGCAGCGGCGGCACCGCGUCCGGUCCUCGAGCGUAUGGGGCUUCGUCACCCGCUCCGUAGGCCCGGCCGGCGCUUGCCGACGACCAUCAAUCUCUUUCUCCAGGUUGACCUCGGAUCAGGUAGGGAUACCCGCUGAACUUAAGCAUAUCAAUAAGCGGAGGA